GGAUUCUUCAAGCUGUUAAAACAGUUUUUGCUCACAGAAAAUGUGGACGAGGCACAGGUUAUAAUUGUCCAGGCAUCUGCGAAUGGACAGACUGACUGCAACUCCUUCGAACUAUUCAACAGCUUGGUACAGAGAAAACCAAUAGUGAGCAAUAGAUGGGUAAAACAAUAUCUGCUUGCUGGUACCACACUUGAUAUGGAGAACUUCAUGGUCACCAAGAUUUGUCGAUAUGGAGAAAUCUGUCACGAAAUUGAUUACCAAGGAUUUGAGUUUGAAUUAAGGGGAGAC
This is a long non-coding RNA of Dreissena polymorpha, 288 nucleotides long. RefSeq lists it as uncharacterized. The transcript has 3 exons. The record is from RefSeq and is a predicted model, not a curated record. Lineage: Eukaryota; Metazoa; Mollusca; Bivalvia; Myida; Dreissenidae.